ACAAACAAAACAGAAACAAAAACAAGUACAGAAAUUUCGUGAGAAAGACAAGAAAAUUCCUCUCGAGAAGAGACAGAUUCUUUCUGUCUUUCAGAAAAAGGCAAGGAUGCCCUGAGACAUGGCAUAUCAACGAGACUACGAGGACACAACGGCAACAAAUGCAUGGACACCAGUUAACAGUCACCAGGAACAAGUUACUGCAGAUGCUGGAAUGUGAACUGAAAACAACAAUUGCUGGGAUCACAGGAGGUCAGGCAGCAUCCGUGGAAAUAAGCUCAUGGGAAAAUGUAACAUUCUUUCCUGACUACCGCCCAGUGGUUCUGUACUCCAUGAUCAUGGAGGAUGCUUCGUGCUUCGAGAGGCUGGUCACGGCCCACAUCAAUUCUAGUCUCCCAGCCUGCCUCAAUCCCCUGCAAUUUACCCACCGACAUAACAGGCCGACAGCAGACACCAGUUCCCUAACCCUACAUUCCUGCUCAUCAACACCAUUAUCCCCUCAGACUGAUCUCGAAACUCCAAGAUCCAGGUCUCGGCUCUGCCCUCUGCAUCUGGAUGCUCACCCCACAGACUGCAAUCAUCGAAGAUAGGCAACCGUACCUCCUCCACAAGGAGGCUCAACACUGGAACCCCCUCCCAUGGAUGCAAUCUCUGCCCCCUACUAUACUCCCUGUACACCCACGUGCAAUUCUGCCAAAUUCCAUACAAACACCAUCUUUACGUUUGCUGACAACACCACCGUGGUAGGACAGAUGUCAAACAACGAUGAAUCAGAAUACAGAAAGGAGACAGAGAGCUUGGUGAAUUGGUGCAAUGGUAACAACCUCUUCUCAAUGUCAGUAAAACUAGAAAACUGUUCACGGACUUCAGAAAGAAAGGAGAGAACAAGCCCCAUUUACAUCAAUGGGGCUGAGGCUGAGAGGGUGGAAUGCGUCAAGUCAGUCUGAGGAACUAUAACUGACAAUCUGUCCAGGAUUUCCCACAUUGUGCCUUUUUAACCAUUGCACUACAAUGCCUCUUCUUCUUCAGGUGGCUCAAGAAAUUUGCCACACUCAUAAUGAUCCUGACCAACUUUAAUAAAUGUACCAUUGAAAACAUACCGCCCAGGUGCCCAACAGCCUGGUAUGGCAACUGCUCUGCCAAGGACUGUUUGAAACUACAGAAGAUUGUUGCAAGGCCCAAGAGAAAGUGAGGUUAGCAGAUAUCCAGCUCCGACCAUCACAGAAGCAAACCGCCCAGUUAUGCAUCUCAUUGCCAUGGAAAGGCUACCAACAUCAAAGACCCAUCCCACUAGGUAAUGCUCUCCUGCAACCUCUUCCUACAGACAGAGGAUACAGAAGCUUGAACACUGUUCAGGAACAGCUUCUUCCCUGCCAAUAUCAGACUGAUGGAUGGACACUAACUUCAAAUAAUGCUGAUCUUGUUAAUGUCGAUUUUAUCUAGCACAUGUCCUGUGCAGUGUAGCCUGCAUGCCUUACACUAUCCAAGUCUUUUUUCACCCUCAAGCUGUAUGUCGUUGCUUACUAUGAUUUGCCUGUGCUGACUGCAAACAAAGCUUUUCACUGUACUUUGCUACACAUUGGGAGAUGACAACACUUGAGAGCUGCGUUGAUGACCU
Hemiscyllium ocellatum (epaulette shark) is the source of this 1615-nucleotide long non-coding RNA. RefSeq lists it as uncharacterized. NCBI's taxonomy places the organism in Eukaryota, Metazoa, Chordata, Chondrichthyes, Orectolobiformes, Hemiscylliidae. The record is from RefSeq and is a predicted model, not a curated record. The transcript is spliced from 4 exons.